CCCGGCGGCAGCGCCACGGGGCUUUGGGGGUGAUUCUCCUCCCCUUUUUUUGUCUUUUUUUUUGGGGUGUGUGUUUGCCCAGAGGAAGUCGAGCAGGGCCAAGGAGAAGAAGCAGCGGCGGCUGGAGGAGCGCGCGGCCAUGGCCGCCGUCUGCGCCAGGGUCGAGGCCGCCAACAAACUCCAAGACCCCCUGGAAGCCUUCCCGGUGUUCAAGAAGUACGACCGCAACGGGUGAGUGCCGCCCUGCCCGGGGGACCCCGGGGGCUGCUCCCGGUGUCCUCCGGGUGUUCAAGGUGUCCCUGGGGCCAUUCCAGGUGUCCCUGGGGCCAUUCCAGGUGUCCCUGGGGUCAUUCCCGGUGUCCCUGGGGCUGCUCCCGGUGUCCUCCGGGUGUUCAAGGUGUCCCUGGGGCCGUUCCAGGUGUCCUCCGGGUGUUCAAGGUGUCCCUGGGGCCAUUCCCGGUGUCCUCAGUGU
Molecule: long non-coding RNA, 472 nt
Organism: Corapipo altera (White-ruffed manakin)
Lineage: Eukaryota; Metazoa; Chordata; Aves; Passeriformes; Pipridae
Exons: 3
Source: RefSeq, a predicted model, not a curated record